AGUGAACGCUGGCGGUAGGCCUAACACAUGCAAGUCGAACGGCAGCACAGUAAGAGCUUGCUCUUACGGGUGGCGAGUGGCGGACGGGUGAGGAAUACAUCGGAAUCUACUUUUUCGUGGGGGAUAACGUAGGGAAACUUACGCUAAUACCGCAUACGACCUACGGGUGAAUGCAGGGGAUCUUCGGACCUUGCGCGAUUGAAUGAGCCGAUGUCGGAUUAGCUAGUUGGCGGGGUAAAGGCCCACCAAGGCGACGAUCCGUAGCUGGUCUGAGAGGAUGAUCAGCCACACUGGAACUGAGACACGGUCCAGACUCCUACGGGAGGCAGCAGUGGGGAAUAUUGGACAAUGGGCGCAAGCCUGAUCCAGCCAUACCGCGUGGGUGAAGAAGGCCUUCGGGUUGUAAAGCCCUUUUGUUGGGAAAGAAAAGCAGCAGGUUAAUACCCCGCUGUUCUGACGGUACCCAAAGAAUAAGCACCGGCUAACUUCGUG
RNAcentral lists this ribosomal RNA (492 nucleotides) under uncultured bacterium. Its description in RNAcentral is "partial 16S ribosomal RNA". It matches the Rfam family "Bacterial small subunit ribosomal RNA", at positions 29 to 507 of the family's 1533-position model. The record is from RNAcentral.